Molecule: ribosomal RNA, 405 nt
Filed under: uncultured bacterium
Lineage: Bacteria
Description: bacterial SSU rRNA
Rfam family: Bacterial small subunit ribosomal RNA
Source: RNAcentral
GGGGAAUAUUGGGCAAUGGGCGCAAGCCUGACCCAGCAACGCCGCGUGAAGGAAGAAGGCUUUCGGGUUGUAAACUUCUUUUAAGAGGGAAGAGCAGAAGACGGUACCUCUUGAAUAAGCCACGGCUAACUACGUGCCAGCAGCCGCGGUAAUACGUAGGUGGCAAGCGUUGUCCGGAUUUACUGGGUGUAAAGGGCGUGCAGCCGGGAAGACAAGUCAGAUGUGAAAUCCCGCGGCUCAACCGCGGAACUGCAUUUGAAACUGUUUUUCUUGAGUACCGGAGAGGUCAUCGGAAUUCCUUGUGUAGCGGUGAAAUGCGUAGAUAUAAGGAAGAACACCAGUGGCGAAGGCGGAUGACUGGACGGCAACUGACGGUGAGGCGCGAAAGCGUGGGGAGCAAACAGG